GCGUAAGCGCACGCAGGCGGUCUGCUCAGUCGGAUGUGAAAUCCCCGGGCUCAACCUGGGAACUGCAUUCGAAACUGGCAGGCUAGAGUCUUGUAGAGGGGGGUAGAAUUCCAGGUGUAGCGGUGAAAUGCGUAGAGAUCUGGAGGAAUACCGGUGGCGAAGGCGGCCCCCUGGACAGAGACUGACGCUCAGGUGCGAAAGCGUGGGGAGCAAACAGGAUUAGAUACCCUGGUAGUCCACGCCGUAAACGAUGUCGACUUGGAGGUUGUGCCCUUGAGGCGUGGCUUCCGGAGCUAACGCGUUAAGUCGACCGCCUGGGGAGUACGGCCGCAAGGAUAGAACUCAAAUGAAUUGACGGGGGCCCGCACAAGCGGUGGAGCAUGUGGUUUAAUUCCAUGCAACGCGAAAAACCUUACCUACUCUUGACCUCCAGAGAACU
This 439-nucleotide ribosomal RNA is filed under the name Klebsiella aerogenes. Its description in RNAcentral is "bacterial SSU rRNA". It matches the Rfam family "Bacterial small subunit ribosomal RNA", at positions 558 to 997 of the family's 1533-position model. Lineage: Bacteria; Pseudomonadati; Pseudomonadota; Gammaproteobacteria; Enterobacterales; Enterobacteriaceae. The record is from RNAcentral.